UGGGAUCUACGAUGCUGGUCAACCAUUCU
Molecule: non-coding RNA, 29 nt
Filed under: Mus musculus (house mouse)
Lineage: Eukaryota; Metazoa; Chordata; Mammalia; Rodentia; Muridae
Source: RNAcentral